GGGCCCGCACAAGCGGUGGAGCAUGUGGUUUAAUUCGAUGCAACGCGAAGAACCUUACCAGGGCUUGACAUACUACAAAUCUUUUUGAAACGAGAGAGUGCCUUCGGGAAUGUAGAUACAGGUGGUGCAUGGCUGUCGUCAGCUCGUGUCGUGAGAUGUUGGGUUAAGUCCCGCAACGAGCGCAACCCUCGUUUUUAGUUACCAAUCUAAUUGGAAUUUCUAGAGAGACUGCCGGUGACAAACCGGAGGAAGGUGAGGAUGACGUCAAGUCAGCAUGCCCCUUAUGUCCUGGGCUACACACGUGCUACAAUGGCAAAGACAAAGAGUCGCAACUUCGCAAGAACUAGCUAAUCUCAUAAACUUUGCCCAAGUUCGGAUUGUAGGCUGCAACUCGCCUGCAUGAAGUUGGAAUCGCUAGUAAUCG
RNAcentral lists this ribosomal RNA (424 nucleotides) under uncultured bacterium. Its description in RNAcentral is "bacterial SSU rRNA". It matches the Rfam family "Bacterial small subunit ribosomal RNA", at positions 917 to 1344 of the family's 1533-position model. The record is from RNAcentral.